Molecule: unclassified non-coding RNA, 381 nt
Filed under: fungal sp.
Lineage: Eukaryota; Fungi
Description: partial internal transcribed spacer region
Rfam family: Eukaryotic small subunit ribosomal RNA (bases 1-46)
Source: RNAcentral
AAGUCGUAACAAGGUUUCCGUAGGUGAACCUGCGGAAGGAUCAUUAUUGAAUUAUUUUUAUGCAACUCUUUUGGAGUUGCUAAAAACCCCCCCAACUUUGUGUGCAUUUGCAAUUCCUUUGGCCUCGUCAUUUUUUGUGCUCUUUUGAGCCCCAACACUUGUCGCCGUAUUCCGCGUUGUUUUCACCUUUUACAGGGUGCAGAAUGUCGUGGAAGCAGCGGCCGGUGAGUGAGGGCGAGAAAGAGAAGGAGAAAAAGGGGGUCAUUGAAUUACACCGCUUCUACUUGUCUGAAUGAAAUAAUGCGUUCUUUCCUUGUGAAAGACGACACUAGUAAAUAAUAAACGAGAAAAAACUUUUAACAACGGAUCUCUUGGCUCUCC